CUGUAAUAGCCUUGACCUAUUCUCAAACUUUAAAUGGGUACGGAGUGGAUCGAUGCUUGGAUGAUCGGCCACGAGAAUGAGAGUGCCAAGUGGCCAUUUUUGGUAAGCAGAACUGGCGAUGCGGGAUGAACCGAACGCAUAGCUAAGGUGCCAAAGUGCACGCUCAUGAGAGACCAGAAAAGGUGUUGGUUCAUCCAGACAGCAGGGCGGUGGCCAUGAAAAGUCGGCAUCCGCUAAGGAGUGUGUUACGACUCACCUGCCGAAUGAAGCAGCCCUGAAAAUGGAUGGCGCUGAAGCGUGAGACCGAGGCUAUGCCGUCGGGGCGAGAUGGGAGCCUUGACGAGUAGGAGGGCGUGGAGGUUGCGAGGGAGUGUAGGCCGUGAGGCCGCAUGGAGCAGCCUCUAGUGCAGAUCUUGGUGGGAGUAGCAAAUAUUCAAAGGGGGACUUUGAAGACUGAAGUGGGG
This 464-nucleotide ribosomal RNA is filed under the name uncultured eukaryote. RNAcentral's name for it is "eukaryotic LSU rRNA". It matches the Rfam family "Eukaryotic large subunit ribosomal RNA", at positions 1036 to 1501 of the family's 3401-position model. The record is from RNAcentral.